CGAGCCACUGCCUGUUCACCCCGCUAUCAUCCAGAAGGCGAGAAAGAAGAGAGACUGAAGCUACAGGAAAUGACUGAAGCUACAGGAACAAGUAGGGAAGUCACAGGAAAAGGCUGUGAAGCUACAGGAAAAGCUCAAAGACCAAACAUAAAGUACAUAUAUCCAGUA
Non-coding RNA from Oncorhynchus mykiss (rainbow trout), 168 nucleotides. The record is from RefSeq and is a predicted model, not a curated record. Lineage: Eukaryota; Metazoa; Chordata; Actinopteri; Salmoniformes; Salmonidae.